This 1129-nucleotide long non-coding RNA is filed under the name Anas platyrhynchos platyrhynchos (common mallard). Its description in RNAcentral is "lncRNA (ENSAPLG00000024245.1)". Lineage: Eukaryota; Metazoa; Chordata; Aves; Anseriformes; Anatidae. The record is from RNAcentral.
UAAACUUCAUGAAGCAGCCCUCCAGUUUGUCACGAUCUCUCUGCAAGACCUUCCGCUCUUGAGGGAAUCAGGAGUGACUCCUAAUUUAGUGUGGUUUGCAAACAUAGUUACUUAGUAUGCAUUCAAGUCCUGCAUCCAGAUAAUUUAUAAAAACAUUAGAGAGAACUGGCCCUACCCUAGCUCAUGCAGUUCAAAGCUGGUAUCAGAAGCUUCUCAUGAGACAUUCCAGAAAAUCCCUUAGCUCUGAGAAGUUAGGAUAUAACAACCCUACUCUUGACUGCCUUUGAAUCUUCUCUAUGUUCUCUAUUUGAAUAAUACAAAAAGAAAUCAAACACAUCAUAGAACAUAUACAUAUUUAUACACAACUGAGCAAGCAAGGUCCAAUCAACAUCUAAGGCAUGGAGGAAGAACACUGUUCAAAUAUUAUUAUUUUUUUUUUUGUGUUCAAACCUGACCAUCUGUCCUCCCAGAACCCCGUUCACAGAGGUCUCAUCACACAAGUGGAGGUAGGAGGUUUCCUCUAUUAACUGCCUGAGACAGAUUCCUGCACCCAGAGCAGCACAAUCUCCAUUGCAGCCUUUGAGCAGGGCUGAGGAAGCCUUCAGUCCCCUCCUCUUCCUGCUCCCUGUACCCACACCCAAACCAGAAUACAACUCACUGUACUCAGGAGCACCUGGAGCACAUCUCUUUUGCACUUUUAUUAGCAGAGUAUCUGCAACAAGGUAUUGUCACUUGUGCAACUAAAAGGAACAAUUGCAUUUCUCCAAGAUAUGAGAUGCAGCCCCAGUCCUGCAGAUCAAUACACACAAGAAGAGUUGCAAAGCACAGAUACUGUCUGCUGUCCUCAACAGGCCUGUGUAUAGUUUGGGAGUCCACCUACACAAAGUUACUGGGUAGCAAUAUCUGCUGCAGCUGCUUCAAAGAUUUUUUGAAGAAUGGUAUUUUAAAUGAUUAUUAUUAAAAUUACAGAUACAUAUUUGUGUUGCUGAUAUUUCUAUUAUUAUUAUUAUUUUUUUUUUUUACUUACUGGUUAGAAAGGAGGGUGAAGAAAGUUUUAUUUAACACUUUUAUUGCCAAUUCUAAUCAAAUUAAUUUAAUAAACUCCCAGUUUUUAUGAAAUCCUAAUACA